This 665-nucleotide ribosomal RNA is filed under the name Tylopilus felleus. RNAcentral's name for it is "eukaryotic LSU rRNA". The stretch from base 228 to 382 matches the Rfam family "5.8S ribosomal RNA". Lineage: Eukaryota; Fungi; Basidiomycota; Agaricomycetes; Boletales; Boletaceae. The record is from RNAcentral.
GGGGCAAGUAGGCGGUAGAGAGGAGAUGGAGAGCUGAACUGUCGCUGGCUAGGUCUGGGUUCAUUCCUCGGACUCUCGCAUGUGCACGUCUCGACUCCUUCCUCAACCUUUCUUUCUCUUUCCUUCACACCCGUGCAUCCAUCGUAGGUCGCUCGAAAGAGUGAUCUAUGUUCUUCUCUUAUCACACCCGAGUCGUAUGUCCAUAGAACGAUAACACACGAUAAUACAACUUUCAGCAACGGAUCUCUUGGCUCUCGCAUCGAUGAAGAACGCAGCGAAUUGCGAUAAGUAAUGUGAAUUGCAGAUUUUCAGUGAAUCAUCGAAUCUUUGAACGCACCUUGCGCUCCUUGGUAUUCCGAGGAGCAUGCCUGUUUGAGUGUCAUCGAAUUCUCAACCAUGUCUUGAUCGACUUCAAGGCCAUGGCUUGGAGUUUGGAAGCUGCUGGCAUCGAAGAGAUGUCAGCUCUUCUGAAAUGUAUUAGCGAUGGACGAGCGAUCGUUCUGACGUGCGCGGCCUUCCGACGUGAUAAUGAUCGUCGUGGCUGGAGCGUUCAGACAUCACAUUCAUCAUGGUCUGAUCGCUUCCAAUCCCCCCUCAUGUUGACUUGACCUCAAAUCAGGUAGGACUACCCGCUGAACUUAAGCAUAUCAAUAAGCGGAGGAAAG